AGGCAGUUAGUCCAACAAAGACCUUUGAUUUCGACUCAAAAAAUCAUGACUCACUCAUGGCUGCCUU
This 67-nucleotide transfer RNA is filed under the name Sigmops gracilis (slender fangjaw). RNAcentral's name for it is "tRNA-Arg". Lineage: Eukaryota; Metazoa; Chordata; Actinopteri; Stomiiformes; Gonostomatidae. The record is from RNAcentral.